GAAGAUUCUGCCAAAGCCACACUGACUCAGAGAAGCAGAUGGCUGAGAAAGGAUACAACUCCAUGACUGUGACUUUUAUAACAGGGAUGAGGGUGGCUGGAGGAAGAGGGAGUGGGGUCUGUGUCCAUGAGGUAUAGGGCGAGCUGACCCCUAUGGAAGACGCUACAGGUACUCUCUGAGACCAGCUUCAAUGAGCCAGACCCAGCAUGGGAAACCUCACCCAACUCUAGCUCUUUCUUGAUUCUGUGGGGGAUGGUGCAUGGCCCUUCUUACUUGGUGGAGUGAUUUGUCCAGUAAAUUCCGAUAACGAUAAGACUGUGGUCUGCUAACUAGUUAGGCUACCCCAGUGGUCGGCGGCCUACCUUGUUAGAUGUACCUGUGCUACACUGACUGGCUCUGCGUGUGCUUACCCUAUGCUGCAGGCCGGCGGGGGAGCCCAUUGAACCCCAUUUGUGAUGGCGAUGGGGAUUACACUUAUUCUCCCUCAACAAGGAAUUCCCAGUAAAUGCGUGUCAUAAGCUUGCAUUCAUUAUGUCCCUGACCUUUGUACACACUGCCUGUUGCUAAAGCUUCUUCAGUACCUUUAAUGUGAUCUAUA
Sarcophilus harrisii (Tasmanian devil) is the source of this 598-nucleotide non-coding RNA. The record is from Rfam. Lineage: Eukaryota; Metazoa; Chordata; Mammalia; Dasyuromorphia; Dasyuridae.